RNAcentral lists this ribosomal RNA (521 nucleotides) under Phengodidae sp. UPOL 001354. RNAcentral describes it as "partial 16S ribosomal RNA". The stretch from base 385 to 521 matches the Rfam family "Bacterial large subunit ribosomal RNA", at positions 2473 to 2610 of the family's 2925-position model. The record is from RNAcentral. Lineage: Eukaryota; Metazoa; Arthropoda; Insecta; Coleoptera; Phengodidae.
CAUCUCUUUUUGUUAUUGAUUUAAGGUUUAAUCUGCUCAAUGAAUAUUUAAAUUGCUGCGGUAAUUUAACUGUACGAAGGUAGCAUAAUAAAUUGGUUUUUUAUUGAAAUCUGGUAUGAAUGAUUGGACAAGGGGUUAGCUGUCUUUUUUUUAUUAUUUGAAUUUUACUUUAGAGUGAAAAGGCUUUGAUUUUAUUAAGGGACGAGAAGACCCUAUAGAGUUUUAUUUGUUGAUGUUUUAUGGAGUUUUUCUUAUUUAAGUUUAUAUUUUGUUGAUUAAUUUAGUUGGGGUAGUUGGAAGAUUAGUUAAAUUCUUCUUUUAUUUUAUCAUUUAUUUGUGCAUUUAUUGUAAGUAUUUAUUGAUUAUAAAUUAAAUUACCUUAGGGAUAACAGCGUGAUUUUAUUUCAAAGUUCUUAUUUGAUAUGAAGGUUGCGACCUCGAUGUUGGAUUAAAAUUAAAUUUUGGUGUAGGGAUCAAGAGGUUAAGUCUGUUCGACUUUUAUAAUUUUACAUGAUCUGAGU